Xyrichtys novacula (pearly razorfish) is the source of this 472-nucleotide non-coding RNA. The record is from the annotation of a GenBank genome assembly. NCBI's taxonomy places the organism in Eukaryota, Metazoa, Chordata, Actinopteri, Labriformes, Labridae.
UGAGUGCGGAGAGGGAGAGGUAUGCAAACAGAGCAGAGAUUCAAUGCCAGCCAGGUGUCUGUGUUCUCUCCAUCUGUGUGUGUGUGUGUGUGUGUGAUGCAAACAUCUGUGCUUUUGUGUGUGUGCAUAGGUGUGCAAACUUCCAUAUGCAGCUGUGUGCACAUGUUGCAUACGCACUAAACUCUGUCAGGCUCUUUCCUGGCCACUGUUUGUAUAUGCGUUCCCCAGGUUUCUAUGACAAGAUAUGCGCAUGUGUUUUUCCUCCAGGUGCGUGUCUGGGCCCUUCAUGGUCACUGACUCCAUUCACCUGAGCCGUCCCUUCACACUGAAAAGCCAGUUGACGGUAAAAAAGCUCUUUGGACAGCUUCUCUUCAUCACCAACCACAGCUGCUGUUGACUCAAGCGCCCAGGAAUCUCCUCCACAGGUUCACACCCUUUUCACCAGCCAACCACACAGCAGAACCAGGAAGCU